GACGAACGCUGGCGGCGUGCCUAAUACAUGCAAGUCGAACGCAGUGGGGACGGGUGAGUAACACGUGGGUAACCUCCCAUCAGAGGGGAUAACUAUUGGAAACAGCUGCUAAACCGAUACUGAUUGAUGGAACCGGUGUGCAGUAGCUAGUUGGUGAGGUAACGGCUCACCAAGGCCACGAUGAAUAGCUGACCUUAGAGGUUGAGCGGCCACACUGGGACUGAGACACGCCCCAGACUCCUACGGGAGGCAGCAGUAGGGAAUCUUCGGCAAUGGACGAAAGGCGAACCGAGCAACGCCGCGUGAGUGAAGAAGGGUUUAGGAUCGUAAAGCUCUGUUAUUAGAGAAGCGGUAUCUAACCAGAAAGCCACGGCUAACUACGUGCCAGCAGCCGCGGUAAUAC
This 403-nucleotide ribosomal RNA is filed under the name uncultured bacterium. RNAcentral's name for it is "partial 16S ribosomal RNA". It matches the Rfam family "Bacterial small subunit ribosomal RNA", at positions 28 to 526 of the family's 1533-position model. The record is from RNAcentral.